This 166-nucleotide unclassified non-coding RNA is filed under the name uncultured Trichoderma. Its description in RNAcentral is "sequence contains ITS2". The record is from RNAcentral. Lineage: Eukaryota; Fungi; Ascomycota; Sordariomycetes; Hypocreales; Hypocreaceae.
CAACCCUCGAACCCCUCCGGGGGGUCGGCGUUGGGGAUCGGCCCUUUACGGGGCCGGCCCCGAAAUACAGUGGCGGUCUCGCCGCAGCCUCUCCUGCGCAGUAGUUUGCACACUCGCAUCGGGAGCGCGGCGCGUCCAUUGCCGUAAAACCCCCACUAUUUUUCAA